AGGGAAAAGGAUGUUUUGUAAAGUUUUGGCUUGAACGUCCAGGGGCAGAACAGGAAAUGUCCACUGGGUCUGGGAGUCCCACGGAGAAAUCGCUGCAGCCUCCUAGCGCUCUGAUCUGCGGUCCCAUCUGGAAUUUAAAGCUCCUCUGUUUGAAGCCUGGUGCCUUUUCCCCCCUUUCUCUUUUCCUCCAGCACUAUUUUUUUUCCUCCUUAAUGUAACGUCAGCUUCGUUCCUCACAAGCUGGAAAAUUUUUCCUCGGCCUAAACUUGGCUCAGGAAUACUCUCCCCUUGUGAGAGAAUUUCUCCUGUUACACAGUUCAGAUUAAAAAAAAAAAAAAAAAAAAAAAAAAAGAGAGAGAGAGAGAGAUUUGUUUUGCCAGCUUUUGUACUAGAAACAUUUUUGAUGGAUCACUCCCCACCCCCACCCCCACCCCCAACCUCUGGAUUCCAAGAAAUAUACACACCCACAUCCCUCUUGGCUGUUUGUCUUGUUUGUUUUUUUCUUUUUUUGGCAUAUGGAGUUCCUGGGCCAGGGCUCAGAUGCCAGCCGCAGUUGUGACCCACAUCAUAGCUGUGGCAAUGCUGGAUCCUUUAAUCCACUGUGACUGGCUGGGGAUCGAACCCAUAUCCUGGCACUGCAGAGACACCAUCCACCCUGUUGUGCCACAGCAGGAACUCCUUGACUGUUCUAGGUCUUUCCAUGAUGGAAGCGCAGGAAUUGGCUAUCACAAAUGGGAUCCAGUUCCCACUACAAACUGCCUCCUCAGCCCCCCAGAAAUGAAGCAGGAAGAUUCCUCAUUGUGAUUCUUGGAGAUGCUGAGUUGGAGGUACAGGAGGUGCAAGGGGAUCCUGAUUCAGUUGUUGCUGAUGGCCUGUUACAGAGGAAAAGAGAAUUCGGCUGCCCUUUACAGAGGCCACCACCAGGACAAUAAACUAGGCUCUCCAUGUGGGUCAGGUGUCAUUCUCAGCCAAGACCUGCAAGCAACUUCGAUAUCCAUCAACAGAGGAAUGAAUAAAGACGACAUAGUACAGGAGUUCCCGUUGUGGUGCAGCAGAAACGAAUCUUACCAGGAACCAUGAGGCUGUGGGUUCGAUCCCUGGCCUCGCUCAAUGGGUUAAGGAUCCAGCGUUGCUGUGAGCUGUGGUGUAGGUGGCAGACAAGACUCGGAUCUGGCAUUGCAGUGACUGUGGUAUAGGCUGGCAGUGGCAGCUCUGAUUCCGCCCCUAGCCUGGGAACUUCCAAUGCCAUUGGGUGCAGCCCUAAAAAGGAAAAAAAAAAAAAAGGAUACAAUGAACUUAUUUACAAAAGAGAAACAGCUCACAGACUCAGAAAAUGAUCUUAUGGUUGCCAAAGAGGACAGGUGGGGGGAAGGGGUAAAUUACCUUCUCUGCUGUCAGUGUUGGACCAUCCCCAGGGCCCCGUGCACACUGCAUUGGAAUGAGCAAUGUCAUUGUGUCCCCCACCCCCACCACUCCAUCCACCACACUUGGACACUGGCAGCUUGCCCCUCCAAUAAAUGUUGGUUGAUUGAAUGAAUGGCAGUGGAGAUCGAUGCCGCUGUCCUGAUCAA
This 1571-nucleotide long non-coding RNA is filed under the name Sus scrofa (pig). RNAcentral describes it as "lncRNA (ENSSSCG00035029380.1)". Lineage: Eukaryota; Metazoa; Chordata; Mammalia; Artiodactyla; Suidae. The record is from RNAcentral.